This 361-nucleotide ribosomal RNA is filed under the name Eleutherodactylus alticola (Lynn's robber frog). RNAcentral's name for it is "partial 12S ribosomal RNA". It matches the Rfam family "Bacterial small subunit ribosomal RNA", at positions 875 to 1384 of the family's 1533-position model. Lineage: Eukaryota; Metazoa; Chordata; Amphibia; Anura; Eleutherodactylidae. The record is from RNAcentral.
GACAGGGAACUUCAAGCAAAGCUUAAAACCCAAAGGACUUGACGGUGCCCCAUCUCCCCCUAGAGGAGCCUGUCAUAUAAUCGAUAAUCCCCGCUUAACCUCACCACAUCUAGCUUAUUCAGCCUGUAUACUUCCGUCGCAAGCCUACCACAUGAGCGAAACCUAGUUAGCCCAAUGUUUACACAUAAAUGUGCUUACAUCAACAACACGUCAGGUCAAAGUGCAGCAAACGAUGUGGGAUAAGAUUGGCUACACUUUUUAAUUUAAAAGAAACGGAAAACAAAAUGAAACUUUGUCAGAAGGUGGAUCUAGCAGUAAAAGAAAGAUAUCAAACUUCUUUAAACUCGGCACUGGGGCGUGU